UAAAGUAUUGAUAACCCCGUAAAUAAAUGUGUUUUUAAUACUCCAUGUGAGUUUUAUAACGACGCUAAUGACCCAGACUGCCUGUAACAACAUUCUUCAGGCGUUGGAAUUGUUAUGACAUUUGUCACCCCAGGCCUGCCGGCCUAGCUGUAGCUAACAGCUUAGGUGUGGGAUUGUCAAACCGUAUAGAUCUAUACACAAGUAUCACGCUCUCCCUCCAAGAGAUUAUGGUUUAUAAUACAGGACUUGAAAUGCAUACUCGAAAGUACGUGAAGCUGAAAUGUCUCACAAUUCUUAGUAUUAAAUAGAUUUACAUAUGAAAGUCCACUUUGUUUUUGUAUAUGAAAGUAUUUCCUUGAUAUAGUACUUGUAGCAUGUAAAAUUUCAUGAAUGUCGAGUAUACUUAUCUUAGUAAUCGUAUCUCUUGUAAUUGUAUCUCUUGAAAUUGUAUGUCUUGUAAUUGUAUGUAAUUGUAUCUCUUCAUAUAAUAUGUAAUGUAUUAGUAUAGACUCAUGAAUAAACUGACUCUUGUGUGAUUCCUUGUACUUGGAAUGGUAAGUAGUAUAUCCUAACUAUACCUAUUAUAGUUACUAGUAUUGUGCGUGUAUAACCGAAGUAUCCCUUUUNAGGGAGUUAGAGCAUAGAUUUAUAUAAUAAAACCUAUUAGAAGAUUUCAGUUUGUUAGAUGAAGAAUAGUUUUAAUAACUACUCAUUCAUCAAUCAGAAGUACUAUAAUAAUUGUAUAUCCGAUGAGUUUUAUAACCAUACUAAACAUAAUAUGUCUGUAGCGACGUUCUUCAGGCGUCGUAGCGUUAUGACAAACUGUCACCCCAAAGGACGGACUCUAGCUAACAGUCAGGGCGCGGGAUCAUGACUUCCCGUAUAGAUCUAUACACAUUUGACACGUUCUCCGAACGGGAGACUCUGGUUAUAGACAGGACUUGAAGCGGUACCUUUUAGCAAAAAGGUAUUAUUUGAAGAUGUAUACGUCUCACGGAUUCUCAACUAAGUCUGUAUUAAAGUAGUAGUUUCGUAUGCAAAGUUUAUCCUUUUUCACAAUGUUCGACAAUGCAUAAAUCAUAAGUUUUUAAAAUGUAUUAAAACGGUUUAGCAACGAAGGAUGCUUUGGAAUUGCUAAAUACUUUGUAUAAAUCUAGUGCAUGCAAAAUGUGACAAGAGUUUUCACAUAGUAGUAGUGAAUCACAAGUGAUUCAUUCGAUAAAAACGAGUACAGUGAAACUUUAUGAAAUACACGAUAAUAACCGUAUCUUUACUUGUAUUCCCCCCCUUAAAAGAGUAUAAAAAGAAUUGAUAACAUAUUUGAAAAUGUAGUUUAUAGGGGUAUGAACUCACCGAAGAAAACGCCUGAUUUGAAGAAAACGAGCUUUUUCUCGGGUGGCGCCUCGACCGAAAAGUGACGAGAUUCUCGGGAAUCUCGGGGCUUCGGACCUUCUUCGGGGCUUAGAUAUGAAACUGGGAAGUCGGGAUGUCGUCGGCACGGAAAACAAGAUGAAAAAGUGAGAGAAAUGAAGAAUUUUAGCAAAGGCAGCCGGCACUCUCGCAAUCUAUUUAUAGGAGCUGGAGGUCCUCGGUACGCUGGGCGUACUUCGGACUUACGCGGGGCGUACCUCGUACGUUGGGCGUACUCCGAGGGUAUGUUGGGCGUUCGCUUGCAUCACUGCUGACCGCAUCCUCGGACGAAGUGUCUGGUCGACGUGGACGAUCCGGAGCCUAGUGUCCGAGUACGUUGGGCGUAAAUCGUUUCGGUGUAUGUGCCACGAACUUGUAAAAUCCGUAACUUUCGCACACGGUCUCCGUUUUUGACGUUCUUUAUAUCCAUGCGAAGGUGAGAAAAUACUCUAAAACUUUCAUUUAGACUCCGUCGGCUAAUUUUGAAUUUAUUUUUAAUUAUAUUUUAAUUAAUAGGCCGGGACACGAUAACUUCGUUAAAAAUCCAUAACUCCUUCAUCUUGUGUCCAUUUUCGUCAGACUUUUUACUGUUAAACUCCUAUUGUCGGGGUCUUCAACUUUCGUUUAGGUUGUGUCGGCUAAGAAUUGCUCGAUCUUUAUUUCGAGUUUUUUAGCUGUCUAUCGCUGUUACGAAACUUAGAAAAUUUGUAACUUCUUCAUACGAAGUCCGUUUUGGGCGUUCUUUUUAUGCAUGAUCACGGUUUAACGUAAUCUACGACUUUCUUUUAGAUACCUAAGGCUAAAAACUAUUGUAUUGAAACUUUGUGUUUUUCGCUUAAGCGGUGUUGUCGGGUUUCGUCACGAAUCUUAGAUUGGUCAUAACUGCUUCGUUGUAACUCGCAUUUUUGUGUUCUUUAUAUGUACGAGAACCUUGAUACAAUUCCUACUACUUUAUUUAACCCAAAUAAUAUUUUUAGGAAAGUUAUAUUUUGGCCUAAAUUUGACUGGUGCUAUAUUAUAUUGUCUCAAAAUGUUGGGUUGUCACAUCAUCCCCCUGUUAGAGGGAAUUUCGUCCCGAAAUUCGAGUUUAAGCAGUAUUAAUAAUCAUGCUACGGACAGAAGUUUUAUUUGCUACUCGUUUUUUUAAGUAAACAUUCGUCUUCACCUGGCAUUCCAGCGAACCUUUCACUAUCGGGAUAUGACUUUGCUUCUUUCGUUUGACCUCCCUGGUAUGAUAUCUUUCCCUUGCCGAAUGUGUGUUGAGUGUUUCUGUGGUCUGUGAGAGUAUUACACCUUGUACCCUACAAGUAGUGUCUCCAAAUCUUUUGAGCAAUUACCGCUGCUCUUGACUCAAGAUCGUGUGUUGAAUAGUCAACCUCCUGUGUCUUAACCUGUCUUGAGGUAUAGGUAGUGACCUUUCCUCUUGCAUAAGAACACAACCAAGCCCUUGGUUGGAUGCAUCACAUUACACCAUGAAAUAUUCUAUCCCUUUUGGGAGGGAUAAUAUUGGUGCGAUGCAUUAGGCUUACUUUAGCGUUUGGAACGCUCUUUCUUGUUUACAGACAAGUCCGUGCUCCUCCAAGUGAGAGACUUGGCCUAAAGAAUCCCCUUUUUAGGAGUUUGUUAAGAUCGCUAGGAAGUUCUUGCAUCUCGGUUAGAGCUAGACAAUAAGGUGAUCUGGAUACUGGGGUAGCCCCUGGCACUAAGUCGAUUCUGAAUUCGACUUGACGCUGUGGUGGUAGUCUUGGUAGUCCUUCUAGAUAGGUGUCGGCAAAGCCGCGUACUUCUUAGAUGUUCUGAAUGUCCUUCACUUCUUGGCAUGUCUCGGCGAUGUGUGCAAGGAAUGCAUGAUAUUCCUUUCGUAAGCAUUUCUGAGCUUGCAUACACGAAAUGAUGAGAGGGUUCGUACUUGUUUCGUCACUGUAAAUAACUAAAGCCUCGUUGUUUUGGGAGGUUAGGACGUCCUGCUUAAUCAAAGCACCUGAUGUCGGCUCGAUGUAGACUUAACCAACUUCUACUAAUUAUGAUGUCAAAACCUUGGGGUGGAUUAGCUGUCGUGAAGAUCUAAAAGGUAGUAUGACUACUCAUCAAUUAGGGAAAAGGAUAGGUAUGUCUAAGUUUAUUCUCACGGAAGCACGAUCAUUCACAGCCUUGGGUGGUCUCCGUCCUGAAGUUCAUAGUAGAACUCAUACCUGGAUCAUCUAUCACAGUCUCGGGUAUACGAUUCGUAUAUAAUUAAGGUUGAGAAGGUAGUCGAAUAAAUGUUUCUUCUUUAAGCUCACAUCCCAUCGAGGAAAAAGAAGUUAAAGUGGAAUUUGUCGAUUCCAAACCUGUAGAACCUUGAUUAUAUAUCACCCCUAUGUAUACAUUCAUCAGCGAUAGAUCAACCGUAUGGACCUUUGGAUUUGAACUUGAUGUACUGUACAAGUGGUACUUCGGGGAUUUCUUUGGAAAGGAGAAGAAACAUGAGGUACUCUAUGCAUAAGUACUUAGGUGUUCUAGAAUGACGGCUUCGCUAGAAAGAAGUUUUUCGGAGGAGGAAAAGUACGCACGAAGCUGGUAUUGCGAGGAUUGAAUUGAGUCAAGUUGUAUGAUGAUAUCGGACUUACUUGGAAAUAAGGUAUUAGAUUUGAUCAUAAGGGUGUUACAGAUAAAACACAACAGUGCAACUUUUAACAGAGUUACAGUACUUUGGUUUUACUAUAAGACUAUUGUUGCGAACAAGGUAUACUACAAAAGGCAAGUAUACGCAGUACGAGGGUCCCUUUACAGACAAGAUCUCGCAAAAGAUAAGACUCUAGUUGCACUAGUUUUAAACAGUUUAUAAGUCUGUUACAACGAAACGUCUUAAUUACAUUCACGUGGGUCCGAAAUAGUCUCUCCUGCGGCAGUGAUCCUUAGUAUUCUACCGUCUGCGCCGGAGUUCUUUGUUAUAGGACAAUCCUUCUUGACGUGACCUAUCUCACCGCAUUGGUGGCAUGAUUAGCUAGUACUAGCAUUGGUGGUGGGAGUGAGGUGUUUAGUCAGAGUUACGUGCACACGGGUGCCUUCCUCAUUACUCCACCUUGAAAAUUUCCUCUUAAAGAGUCCAGCUUUAUCAGUACUUUUGUGUGUUGGUUUGGUCCCGAUGUCAGGGACUGGAGGAAUGGGUCGUGCUGGUGCUGAAGGUACAGGAGUUGCCACUUGCUGUUGUUGCAUGGCAAGUCUUUGGAAUCGCUUUCGCUCACUUCUGGCUUGGCGAUAUCGUCUCCUCUUUUCGGUCUUACGACUUCGCAAGUCUGUGAUUGUUGUCAUUUGUUGAUUUCCCGGAUUGGUACUACAAUCGGAACUCUUGACUCCUUUUUCAGUCUUGUUUGUGUUGCCGGAGUUGAUGUGUGUAAGGAAAGUUAUCACAGCAGCUGCUACUGCAGCUUGUAACAUAGUGGCGUCGAUAUGGAGGAUAGGGGUUUCGUUGCUCGAUGGGUUAUUGCUGGAUGACAACAUGAUUCUGUAACACAAAGGAAAAAGGGGUUCGUGAUCUAAUACGGUUGAACCUAUAUCAUUUUGAUUCUGGCUAAGAUAUGAGUUAUUAUACAUGAAAACUUAGCUUAUACACGUUAUGAUAUAAUCAAGAAUGGGCGGAUAAUAAAAUGUGUGAUUCUACUCUAGUCCCACAUCCCAACGAGGAAAAGGAACUAAAUCAGAAAUCUCACAUUCUAUUGUCUACCAGGUCUUCGUCAUAUAUAACUCGGGAAUGUAUAAGCGAGGAAGGUCAUAAUAAUAAUCUUCUUACGAAUCUUAUUUGAUGAACUAGAAUGUCUAGUAAAGGCUACCAUCGACCCUAGAUGUACUUCGAUCGUUUAAUUGAAGAGUAAGAGCAUGUUCUCGAAGGUUUGACCUAUAUCCCUAUGAUGCAGUCCAAGUAUGGAAUAAAAGUAUGUUCACGAAGGUCCGACCUACAUCCCUAUGAUGCAGUCCUUAGUACGGAGUAGAAGUAAGUUCGUAGAUUAGUCUCAAGACGUUUGUCGUUCAAGCCGAGGUAUCGUUGGUUGGUGAAUAACAUGAUCCUAUCACUAAAAGAGAUUUGGAAAUGUCUCCGGAGUUAAAUUACUAUAGUCCAAUGACUUGACUAAAGCAUGUUUCAGAUAGACUCCAACGAAGGUAUGAUGACGGUUUUUGAACAAAGAGCGACACGGAAGUUAGGCGACUGUCAAUAUCAUCGAUGUCUAAAAUGUAAUAAGUUUAGGAAAAUCUUAUUUUGAAGAAAGUCUUACAUCAUAUCCGGGGUAGAAAGGUUUUGGCCAUAUAAAGGCCUAACUAAUCAGUACUUACAGUACAAGAUAGUUACACAGAAAAAUGCUACAUAGGACAUACACAGGAACAACGAUUCCUUUAAACAACGAAGGGAAAUAAAGCCUUUCUUACUGGCGGCGGUCAUCCUUCUGGUGAACUCUCAGUUCAGCCAAUUGACGUUCCAUUAUCAAGAAGGUGUCUUUCGUACACUCUCUGGCGUACUCGUAUCUCUAUGACUUCAGCUCGUGUUUUAGCUAAUGCUUGCGGCAGGGUCUCAUGGUUUCUCUCAGAUCUCUCCCGAGUGUUUUCAAGAUGACUGGUGUAGAUGGUGUGCAUUCUUGUAUUGGCAUUUAACCUCUUCGGUAUAAUGGAGAGUCGUCCUGCCCUGAAUUUCGUUUCGAGUAACUCUAUAGAUCAGGAUUGGUAAAACUUUGCCUGUUGAGCUCCCCUUAAGUUGUAGCAGUUUCCGUCUCCUUUCAAUGGCAUAGGUUGAUUUUUCUCUUCGCUCAUGUUUUCAGGCAUUCUACCCAAGGAAGCGUCGAGCCAUGAAGAGCUGGACGAGGGUUAGGGUUUGAAUUAGGAGCUACUGGGGGUGGGUUAUCAUCCUUGAGUUCAGAGUUAUCAUCACCCGAAAGAUCUUUAGCAUGGUGAUUAUUCGAAAGGGAUUGGAUGAUCAUUCUCUGGUUCUUCUCUGAACCAUCCAGCUUUGCCUUUGUUCGGAAAAAUACGGGUCUUCGUGGGAUGGGGUCCAGCUAUGUUAUCUAUGCGGUAAUUGGGGUAUAAGAAUUUAACACAUAAGUUGUUUAUAGUAAUACACAAAAUACUCUUAUAGUAUUUUAGGUUUAUGUUCUAUUGUUCUAAUUGUGGUAUUGUGGGUAAGUUUUUAGACUUGUUGCAACUCACAACCACACUUAGGCACAUGCUAGUCAACCCUCGGAUAAUAUAGUUGAUCAGGCUAUAUCAUCCCAUUUUUGACUAUAUGUCUCUAAGUCUACUUCUGCUGCCCAACAAUUGCAAUACUUUUGUUCUGUCUUAGUGACACUGAUUUUAGUAUGAAUGCAGGCACGUAUACUUACUUAAAUAUUUUAUUAUUUAANCUUCAAAUAGGGGACCCUAACUACAAACCCACAACCAAACAAGGAACAGGGAGUAAAGCAAAGGUCACGGACUCUAAGUCUAUGACAUCCUAAAUACACAUAACAUUAUCGUAUCCACCUAGCAACUAUUAACUCACCAAUAAGGACCUUUUUAGUCCUCAGACAAGUAAUUAUAGUACCACUAAAUACUCCUAUAGUGUGACACCCCAAAACCUAGAACUGCGGAAACGCUCUGGGGCGGAGGACGUCAUGUAAUGUAUCAGAACAACGCAACGUAGUAAACAAGAAACAACAUCAUCCAUUUCAUUAAUAGUAUAAUUUUAAUUACAUUUGAGUUCUUUCAUAGUAUAAUUCUACAAAAUGAAUAAUCAAAAUAAAAGACGAGUCUUGACCACUCCAUCUUCAUAGAGCCUGGUAAUCGUACCUGUCUAUCUGUGUCCUGGGAAUACAAGUUAUUUUGAAAGAGAGUAUCAGCAAUAAUGCUGAUGAAUUCAUAAGUAUUUAUGUGAUUUUGAUUUGUAAAACUGUAAAGGAAGACCUGCAAUGUUUGUAGGAAAGUUUGUACCAAUGAACAUGUUUGUAAGUAUUUGUAAACGUUUGAAAACUCUAGAAAAUCCCAUAUUUUAUACUAGUAUAAAAAGUAGCCUUCUACCAAGACCCAACCGUUUUGAAUGUUUGCUUUUAGAAAUCCAAUAUUUACCCAUAAGAGUGUGAUAGUUUCAAAAGUCCCAAAAAUGAACUACCAUGGUGAUUUUUAUGUCUAAAUUAGUAGAUUUGUGUACGUAUAUAAUCGCUAAAGUAUUGAUAACCCCGUAAAUAAAUGUCUUUUUAAUAAUCCAUGUGAGUUUUAUAACGACGCUAAUGACCCAGACUGCAUGUAACAACAUUCUUCAGGCGUUGGAAUUGUUAUGACAUUUGUCACCCCAGGCCUGCCGGCCUAGCUGUAGCUAACAGCUUAGGUGUGGGAUUGUCAAUCCGUAAUAGAUUUAUACACAAGUAUCACGCUCCCCCUACAAGGGAUUAUGGUAUAUAAUACAGGACUUAAUAAUGCAUACUCGAACGUACGNAUGUCUCACAAUUCUUAGUAUUAAAUAGAUUUACAUAUGAAAGUCCACUUUGUUUUUGUAUAUGAAAGUAUUUCCUUGAUAUAGUACUUGUAGUAUGUAAAAUUUCAUGAAUGUCGAGUAUACUUAUCUUAGUAAUCGUAUCUCUUGUAAUUGUAUCUCUUGAAAUUGUAUGCCUUGUAAUUGUAUGUAAUUGUAUCUCUUCAUAUAAUAUGUAAUGUAUUAAUAUAGACUCAUGAAUAAACUGACUCUUGUGAGAUUCCUUGUACUUGGAAUGGUAAGUAGUAUCUCCUAACUACACCUAUUAUAGUUACUAGUAUUGUGCGUGUAUAACCGAAGUAUCCCUUUGCUACCCAAAGGUACUGAAUCAAUUAAUGAAAACUUUUAUGCCUAUAUAUGUAUACAUGAUAUAUAUAUAUAUAUAU
RNAcentral lists this long non-coding RNA (8268 nucleotides) under Lactuca sativa (garden lettuce). RNAcentral describes it as "long non-coding RNA (LSAT_LNC009778)". Lineage: Eukaryota; Viridiplantae; Streptophyta; Magnoliopsida; Asterales; Asteraceae. The record is from RNAcentral.